UGUGCGUCUAUUUCUAUCCAAACAAGAAAUAUAUGGUCAAACCCUACUUUUGCCCCAACACAAAAAAUUAUACCAUAAAUGGAAUUAUCUACAUUUUUACAUUCGUAGUCGAUAAGAACACAAAAGGUCAAUGAAAUUUCGGAUAUUUGCAUAAAGAUAAGUAAAAAUAAAGUACGAUAAUUUUUGCUUGGUCAUGAUUUGUCUUCCCGUUUGUUAAUAGUUACGAGUGACCUCAACAAUAUUUGUGAAGGGCUCGCCUAGCUUUCACAAAUAUAGACGCAUGUUGACAAUAUUUGCGAACGGCCUCGAGAA
RNAcentral lists this long non-coding RNA (312 nucleotides) under Brassica napus (rape). RNAcentral describes it as "long non-coding RNA (BNAP_LNC004644)". The record is from RNAcentral. Lineage: Eukaryota; Viridiplantae; Streptophyta; Magnoliopsida; Brassicales; Brassicaceae.